GUGGACGGGUAGGGGCCGCAAGGCUCCUAUUAACACCCCAGCGCACGUCCGAAGGCGUG
RNAcentral lists this non-coding RNA (59 nucleotides) under unclassified sequences. The record is from RNAcentral.